AGCAGCCGCGGUAAUUCCAGCUCCAAUAGCGUAUAUUAAAGUUGUUGCAGUUAAAAAGCUCGUAGUUGAAUUUCGGGGUCAGUGGGUCGGUCGUGCCACUGGUAUGUACUGGCCCUACUGAUUCCUCCUUCUUGAAGAACUGUAAUGCCAUUAAUUUGGUGUUGCAGGGAAACAGGACUGUUACUUUGAAAGAAUUAGAGUGUUUAAAGCAGGCAAUCGCUUGAAUACAUUAGCAUGGAAUAAUGAAAUAGGACGCUCGAUCCUAUUUUGUUGGUUUCUAGGAUUGACGUAAUGAUUAAUAGGGAUAGUUGGGGGUAUUAGUAUUCAAUUGUCAGAGGUGAAAUUUUUGGAUUUAUUGAAGACUAACUACUGCGAAAGCAUUUGCCAAGGAUGUUUCCAUUAAUCAAGAACGAAAGUUAGGGGAUCGAAGACGAUCAGAUACCGUCGUAGUCUUAACCAUAAACUAUGCCGACUAGGGAUCGGAUGAUGUUAAUUUUUUAAUGACUCA
This 508-nucleotide ribosomal RNA is filed under the name uncultured Sclerocystis. RNAcentral's name for it is "SSU rRNA". It matches the Rfam family "Eukaryotic small subunit ribosomal RNA", at positions 569 to 1078 of the family's 1831-position model. Lineage: Eukaryota; Fungi; Glomeromycota; Glomeromycetes; Glomerales; Glomeraceae. The record is from RNAcentral.